This 253-nucleotide ribosomal RNA is filed under the name uncultured bacterium. Its description in RNAcentral is "partial 16S ribosomal RNA". It matches the Rfam family "Bacterial small subunit ribosomal RNA", at positions 524 to 776 of the family's 1533-position model. The record is from RNAcentral.
UACGUAGGGUGCGAGCGUUGUCCGGAAUUAUUGGGCGUAAAGGGCUCGUAGGCGGUUUGUCGCGUCGGGAGUGAAAAUCCAGGGCUUAACUCUGGACUGGCUUCCGAUACGGGCAGACUAGAGGUAUGCAGGGGAGAACGGAAUUCCUGGUGUAGCGGUGAAAUGCGCAGAUAUCAGGAGGAACACCGGUGGCGAAGGCGGUUCUCUGGGCAUUACCUGGCGCUGAGGAGCGAAAGUGUGGGGAGCGAACAGG